CCUACGGGUGGCAGCAGUGAGGAAUAUUGGUCAAUGGACGAAACUCUGAACCAGCCAAGCCGCGUGAAGGAUGACUGCCCUCUGGGUUGUAAACUUCUUUUAUAAAGGAAUAAAACGAGGCACGUGUGCCUGUUUGCAUGUACUUUAUGAAUCAGGAACGGCUAACGCCGUGCCAGCAGCCGCGGUAAUACGGAGGAUCCGAGCGUUAUCCGGAUUUAUUGGGUGUAAAGGGAGCGUAGAUGGGUUGUUAAGUCAGUUGUGAAAGUUUGCGGCUCAACCGUAAAAUUGCAAUUGAUACUGGCAGUCUUGAGUACAGUUGAGGUAGGCGGAAUUCGUGGUGUAGCGGUGAAAUGCUUAGAUAUCACGAAGAACCCCGAUUGCGAAGGCAGCUUACUAAACUGUGACUGACAUUGAUGCUCGAAAGUGUGGGUAUCAAACAGGAUUAGAUACCCUAGUAGUC
RNAcentral lists this ribosomal RNA (460 nucleotides) under uncultured bacterium. RNAcentral describes it as "partial 16S ribosomal RNA". It matches the Rfam family "Bacterial small subunit ribosomal RNA", at positions 338 to 795 of the family's 1533-position model. The record is from RNAcentral.